UAAAUGUAAUCUAUUUUAAAUUUAGGCUGUACAACAAAAUUUGGAGUAAUUCAAGGAGUGUGAAUACUUUAAGGCAUUGUAAUAUAAUACUUGUGACAGCUUUACUGACAAUACUUCUAUCCCCAGCAUCGAUCAAAUUAGAUCUUUUUUUUUAUUUUUAUACCAGUAAUAUGAAAUCAAGUAAUAUCAGGCCCACCCUUAAGGCCCUGCCAAUUGGACAAAUUAUUUUAGAAAAGUAUUCAGAGUUAACUAGACCGGGGUAAUCCUAUUAUUGUCCUUUAAUUUUAAAAAACGACAAAAUACAUAGAUAUCCAUUGUACAAACUAUAUUGUAUUUAGAUAGUUUGGAGGGGGUGUCAGAGCUUGGGAGAGAAUUGGGACUUGUGUGUGGAUGGGUAGGUGAUAUGUUGUCUGAUGUUUGUGAUUAACUAUUGUGUCAAUAACUUAACUGAUUCUGCGCAGUACCUGUAACGUUACCUUAGGGAAGACGGGAGGACCAAACUGACUUUUUAACCAAAUACAUUCGAGUUUAUUGUUAGGCACAAAAGGCGCGAUGUUACCAAGACGACUGGAAGCAAAACAAAUUGAGCAAAGUGGCAGAUGAAGAUUACAUUUUUGCCUGGUGAAACAUACAAAUCAACGAGCGGCUUGCAACAGCUCCACGCAAUGAUGGAUGACAAAUCAGAGCAAGAUUGAAUUCUUUCCUCGAGGCUUCAAUGAGUCAGCAGCUCAACAUGACGCACAGUCAGCAGCAGAGGGUGAUCUCGGGAAUUGACGGCAGAAGGUGCAACGAGAAGACCAGACAAAACGCAUCACUAAGGACAAACAAUCUAAUGAGUGAGGAGAUACUUGAAAAGAAGGGAUACCUACGCAAGGUGCAAGACGAGCUGCACGAAAGCCAAAUUGAGGAUGCUCUCAUAAGGUAGUGGAGAGAAUAUACAAGGAAAAGCAACUGGAAUAAGAGAGAAUGGCACAAGAACUGACCUGCAUCAGUUAUGUAAAGCUUAGAGAUGAAAAAAUGAGGCAAUAUAUAAAAGAGAACAGGUAAGGGCCUCCCGGGUGUCGCAGUGGUUAAGGGCGCUGUACUGCAGCGCCAGCUGCGCCACCAGAGACUCUGGGUUCACACCCAGGCUCUGUCGUAACCGUCUGCGACCGGGAGGUCCGUGGGGUGACGCACAAUUGG
Long non-coding RNA from Oncorhynchus tshawytscha (Chinook salmon), 1182 nucleotides. RefSeq lists it as uncharacterized. The transcript is spliced from 4 exons. Lineage: Eukaryota; Metazoa; Chordata; Actinopteri; Salmoniformes; Salmonidae. The record is from RefSeq and is a predicted model, not a curated record.